UCCGCAUUGGGGUAAUGGUUAACCCAUUACGCUUUCAAAAGCUCACAAGGCAUUGAAAGGUACCGUGAAGCUCGGGGUUCGAUUCCCCGAUGCGGAG
Non-coding RNA from Xylariaceae sp. FL0255, 97 nucleotides. Lineage: Eukaryota; Fungi; Ascomycota; Sordariomycetes; Xylariales; Xylariaceae. The record is from the annotation of a GenBank genome assembly.